GCUGGAGGUGACGGCUGGCUGCUCACCGGAGCAGGGGGCGGCGUCGGCUUCGCCGAGGGCCGUCUGGCCGAGAGGGAAAGAGAGAGGCUGGGAAAGAGAGAGGGCGGUAGAAGGGUAGAGAGAGAGGUUAAGGAGAGGACAGUGGGAGGCAGAGUCGCCGGCUUCCGGCGGCGGCGUGUCGUCUGGUGGCGGCGGCAGGAGGCCGAGAAGGGAGAGGGGUGAGGGGAGAGUGGCUGAGUGUUGAGGGUGCGUGAGUUUUGUGAGCAAUUAGAGUGUGUGGGUUUAAAUUAAGGGAGUUGGAAGAGUGGGCUUGGGCCAAAGGGGGAGUUUAAUUUCAUGGGCUGAGAUUAUUUAAGUAGUUGGGUUUAUUUUAAUUAUCUUAUGGGCUGCAUAUUUCAUUUUAAAUAAGUUGGACUUACUUUAUAAAUAUCAACCCACUUUUUCGAAAAUAUAUUUUACUACUUAAAUUCAUUAGAUCAAUUAUUUUUACAUGAUUCUAUAAUUUAAAUUAUUUUCUAAGCUCAAUUAGGCCCUUAUAUUCUAUUAUUUGAAUUUAUCUGAUUAGGUGCGGCGCGACUAGGACGUUACUUUUAUUUGAUUUACUCAAGUUAGCAUACAAGUUCAAGUUCAAGUUUCAGGUGUGGGAUUUAUUUCAGUACAUGCCGUGGUUAAUUGUUGUCCAUUUUAAUAUUAUGUGUUUGCCAUAUGUGUUGUAAAUUCAGUUAUAUCGCUAGGGGCCCGCUCAAUGGGUCCAGGACUUCACAGUCCUUGGUAUGCCACAAUGCGAUUUCAUGUUAAAGUUAUGGUUGCAACCAGUCGCCAGGGGCCGGCUCAAUCGGUCCAGGACAGAAAGGUCCUUGGUAUGCCACAGUGCGACUUUCAGUCACGAAUGUUUUAAAGGCCGGAGGCACGUGGAAGGUCGAAUGGCGAGUCAAAUAUUUUGAAUUCAGUUUUUCUUAAAAAUGUUAUUUUGAGUAAAGUAUGUUUAAAUAAAUAUUUAUUUCACUAUUUUCUUGUUAAAUAUUUAUUUAUAGUCAUGAUUUUUCCGCGUGCGUUUUCAUGUAAAUUUAAAAUGGAU
Long non-coding RNA from Salvia miltiorrhiza (redroot sage), 1078 nucleotides. RefSeq lists it as uncharacterized. Lineage: Eukaryota; Viridiplantae; Streptophyta; Magnoliopsida; Lamiales; Lamiaceae. The transcript has 2 exons. The record is from RefSeq and is a predicted model, not a curated record.